UACGAAGGGGGCUAGCGUUGCUCGGAAUCACUGGGCGUAAAGCGCACGUAGGCGGAUUGCUAAGUCAGGGGUGAAAUCCUGGAGCUCAACUCCAGAACUGCCCUUGAUACUGGCAUUCUCGAGUCCGGAAGAGGUGAGUGGAAUUCCGAGUGUAGAGGUGAAAUUCGUAGAUAUUCGGAGGAACACCAGUGGCGAAGGCGGCUCACUGGUCCGGUACUGACGCUGAGGUGCGAAAGCGUGGGGAGCAAACAGG
This 253-nucleotide ribosomal RNA is filed under the name uncultured bacterium. RNAcentral describes it as "partial 16S ribosomal RNA". It matches the Rfam family "Bacterial small subunit ribosomal RNA", at positions 524 to 776 of the family's 1533-position model. The record is from RNAcentral.